RNAcentral lists this ribosomal RNA (688 nucleotides) under uncultured bacterium. Its description in RNAcentral is "bacterial SSU rRNA". It matches the Rfam family "Bacterial small subunit ribosomal RNA", at positions 8 to 668 of the family's 1533-position model. The record is from RNAcentral.
AGAGUUUGAUCCUGGCUCAGAAGCGAACGCUGGCGGCGUACCUUUCGGAAGGGAAGUCGAACGGGGAGUUUGCGGGUAGCAAUACUCUCGAGCUUCUAGUGGCGCACGGGUGAGUAACACGUGAGUGACCUGCCCUUGGGUCCGGGAUACCUCUUCGAAAGGAGAGCUAAUACCGGGUACGGUCUUCUGGCUGCGAGGCUGGGAGAGGAAAGGCCGUGGCAACACGGUCGCCGAAGGAGGGGCUCGCGGCCUAUCAGCUAGUUGGGGGGGUAAUGGCCCACCAAGGCGAUGACGGGUAGCUGGUCUGAGAGGACGACCAGCCACACGGGGACUGAGACACGGCCCCGACUCCUACGGGAGGCAGCAGUGGGGAAUUUUCCGCAAUGGGCGCAAGCCUGACGGAGUGACGCCGCGUGGGGGACGAAGGCCUUCGGGUCGUAAACCCCUGUCAGAGGGAAAGAAGGGCCGAGGAGUGAACUCCUGGGUCUGACGGUACCCACAGAGGAAGCCCCGGCCAACUCUGUGCCAGCAGCCGCGGUAAAGACAGAGGGGGCAAGCGUUGCUCGGAAUCACUGGGCGUAAAGGGCGCGUACGCGGGAGGCCAAGUCGGUCGUGAAAUCUCCGGGCUCAACCCGGAGGAGUCGGCCGAAAACUGGUUUUCUUGAGGGAGGCAGAGGAGUCUGGAAUU